Durio zibethinus is the source of this 2705-nucleotide non-coding RNA. The record is from RefSeq and is a predicted model, not a curated record. NCBI's taxonomy places the organism in Eukaryota, Viridiplantae, Streptophyta, Magnoliopsida, Malvales, Malvaceae.
ACAAAAUUAAAUGUAGCUCGAAAACUGAAAACCCGGUAGACCUUCUAGAAGCCUCUAAUGAAAAUUUCUCUCCAUAAAAUACAUGUUUCUUAAAAAAUUAAAAACCUCAAAAAUCAAACUUUAUUUCUCUCUCUGCCUCUCCCGUUGAAACCAUCCCAGUCCUGAAAAAUGUCGCUCGACGGGGACGUCAACGGCGGCGGCGCUAACACCGUCGGUGUGACCAAUAAGCUUUUCUUUUGCUAUCAAUGUAACCGUACCGUCACCGUAACUGUCUCCCCUUCAUGUGACCCUUCUUGUCCCAUAUGUAACGAAGGCUUCGUCGAAGAAUACGAAAACCCUAACCCUAAUCCAGGCUCCGCCUUCCAAAACCUGAACCCAUUCACCGAACCCUUUGUGACGCUAUCGGAUCCGUUCUCUUCCUUCCUCCCGCUCCUUUUUCCUUCCUCUUCUUCUUCCAUUACCACUUCAUCGUCAUCCGCUGCUUCCGUUGACCUUAACAACCCUAGCCUAUCCGGGUCUAACCGGUCAGGCCGAGGCGACCCUUUCAAUCCGUUUACCUUCAUCCAAAAUCAUCUCAACGAUCUCCGUUCAAGCGGGGCGCACAUCGAGUUCGUGAUCCAGAACAAUCCGUCGGAGCCGGGCAUUCGGCUUCCGGCAAACAUAGGGGAUUAUUUCAUCGGACCGGGCCUCGAGCAACUGAUCCAGCAGCUGGCCGAAAACGACCCUAACCGGUACGGGACCCCACCGGCAUCAAAAUCAGCCAUUGACUCGCUACCUUCGGUGAAGAUAACGAAGAAUCACUUGAAUUCGGAGUUCAACCAGUGUGCAGUUUGCAUGGACGAGUUCGAGGAAGAGACUGAAGCGAAGCAGAUGCCCUGUAAGCAUCUUUAUCAUAAGGAUUGCAUAUUGCCGUGGUUGGAAUUGCAUAAUUCGUGCCCCGUGUGUCGUCAUGAGUUACCUACGGAUGAUCCUGAUUAUGAGAGGAGGGUUCGUGGGGCGCAGGGGACGGGUGGAGGUAAUGAUAGUGGUAGUAGUGGUGGGGGUGAUAAUGGGCAGAGUUCUGUCGGGGAUAAUCGGACGGUGGAGAGGAGUUUUAGAAUAUCGCUGCCUUGGCCAUUUGGGGCUCGUGGUUCGGCUUCAGGAUCAGGUGAUAAUGCGGAGACCAGGCAAGAAGAUUUGGAUUGAGAAUUUUGGUAUAUCUUUUGAAGAAUCCAGCUGAUGUUAGCUGUGAAAGGCUUGGUGGUCAUCUUGGAAGGUUGAGGUGGUGGGAAGUGAUACUAUAUAAAGAUUGAAUACCAAGCUGGAGCUUUCUACCCGUGAUAAUAGUUCUCUGAGCUUAGUAAAGGUGAUAAGGUAAAGGAAAGCAUGUAAAGAAGUUAUGGGUAAAAGGGGUGGUGGCGAGUCACAUGAACAAAAAAGUAGAAAAGUAAGUUCUUUAUAUACUUCCAGUCUAUGUCUUGUGGCACUAACAUCAUAUUCACUGGAAGAAACUCCUGGCAAGUUCUAAUGCUCAUGUAUGUCUAGGUUGUGUAAUGUGUUGCCAUUCAAUAUUUCUAUCUUAAUUUUGUUCCAUUAUUACGCUGUCCGAAUAACCUUGUGGUCCUAGUAGCUGGGGUGUCAAGCCUUUUUUUAUUUUUCGUGGGUACAAUAUCUGGCUGAAAUGUCAUAGACAUAUUGAUACUUAGACUGGCAAGGGCUUUUGAUUGUUCAUUUUUGGGUUAAUGUUAUGAAUAGUCCUUAACCUAUAGUGAAAUAUUUAAUGUGGUACCUAAACUAUAAAAGUCUCUAAUGUGUUAGCUGAACUAUGAAUCUAUUAACUAAUGUGAUAAAUGGAGGGUUGUUUGUCCAUCAUGUGUCAUCAUUUGAAACUAAUUACGUUAGAGGUGAGUAUCACAUUAGUUAACAAAUUUGUAGUUCAGGUAUCACAUUAGAGAUUUUUUAAAGUUCAGAUACCAAAUUGAAUAUUUCACUAUAGUUUAGAGGCCAUUCAUGACAUUAACUCUUCACUUUUAGUGCUGCAUGUGUCAUUUCUUGCUUUAGAUACUGGCCAAUGUCAAUCGGAAUGAUUCUUGAAUCCUGUUGAAAUAUUGAUAAAUGAAUCAAUUAGGACUUGAAAUACAACAAAUAUUCUUGGUUGAGUUGACAUUUUUUGAUAAUCCCUAUUUGCUUGACAAGCCUACCUCUUGAUGCAUCCUUCGUCCCCUAAGUGGCUUGUAAGGAGGUUGAACCUUAUUGUUAAGUAAAAUGUUAGGCUGCUGUGGAUCUGGAAUAGGUUUAGGUUCAAUUUAUACCAACUGAAAAAAAAGAUGUAUGUCGCAAACUUCAAAAUAGAUUAAAAUUUUGUUAUCCAUUUUUCUAAAAAGACGAAUUGCUGCAGUCAUUUCAUAUUACUUACUACUAAUACAACUGUCACAGUUUCUACUUGUUUUGAUUUGUACUUUUUCAAAGAAUCAGGUAUUUAGCAGAUUCAGUGUAUUAAAAGCAAUUUUAUUGCUCUAAAAAGACAUAAUGUUAAUCAUCAAAGCCUGCAUACGUUUGCAUGCUUUCAGUGCUCGUGCAUAAGGCUAUGCUUGAUGGAAAGUUGGAAAGAUAGAAGGGUGGUUCUGUUAUUUAACUAGUGGAGUUAGAAAAAAUCAUAGUUACAGAACUUAUGGUUUCUUGACUCGUUAAGUAUAUUGUGAUGUACACGAAUCAGAGCUACUUUC